GCUGGGUGUUGUGGCAGGCGCCUGUAGUCCCAGCUACUCGGGAGGCUGAGGCAAGAGAAUCACUUAAGCCCAGAAGUUGGAGUUUGCUGUGACCUGUGUGAUGCCACGACACUACCAAGGCCAAUAAAGUGAGACUCUAUUUCUUUUUUUUUUUUUUGAGACAGAGCCUCAAGCUGUCCCCCUGGGUAGAGUGCUAUGGCAUUACAGCUCACAGCAACCUCCAACUCCUGGGCUCAAGCGAGUCUCCUGCC
This 251-nucleotide small RNA is filed under the name Otolemur garnettii (small-eared galago). RNAcentral describes it as "Metazoan signal recognition particle RNA (ENSOGAG00000027683.1)". Lineage: Eukaryota; Metazoa; Chordata; Mammalia; Primates; Galagidae. The record is from RNAcentral.